RNAcentral lists this unclassified non-coding RNA (285 nucleotides) under Hevea brasiliensis (rubber tree). The record is from RNAcentral. Lineage: Eukaryota; Viridiplantae; Streptophyta; Magnoliopsida; Malpighiales; Euphorbiaceae.
GGUUUGGUUUUUCAGUUUAAACCGUUGAGUGCACAUCCCUUCUUGUUACAACUAAGACCACUUUUGUAUAAACAGUUGUGUUCAGUGAGAGAAUUUUUUCGUGUCUUUAUAUUUAGGUGUCUUAUGUUUUUCUAUGGUUUUUAAUAAAUGCAUGUGGAUGUCCACUGGAAAAGCAGAAGAGCUUGAAUUUGCACCUCCUGCACCAUCUUAAUUAAGAUAAUUUGAAUUGUAUUUAGAUAAUGUUGUUGGUCAAACCUUUUGCUUUAGAUUCAGAAAAAAAAAAAA